CAGCCGCCGCGGGAAUACGUAGGGUGCAAGCGCUAAUCGGAAUUACUGGGCGUAAAGCGUGCGCAGGCGGUUAUAUAAGACAGAUGUGAAAUCCCCGGGCUCAACCUGGGACCUGCAUUUGUGACUGUAUAGCUAGAGUACGGUAGAGGGGGAUGGAAUUCCGCGUGUAGCAGUGAAAUGCGUAGAUAUGCGGAGGAACACCGAUGGCGAAGGCAAUCCCCUGGACCUGUACUGACGCUCAUGCACGAAAGCGUGGGGAGCAAACAGGAUUAGAUACCCGCGUAGUCCCUGUCUCUUAUAU
Molecule: ribosomal RNA, 301 nt
Filed under: uncultured bacterium
Lineage: Bacteria
Description: partial 16S ribosomal RNA
Rfam family: Bacterial small subunit ribosomal RNA
Source: RNAcentral